UGUACUAAACUUAGACCAUUAGUUAGCGCAGGCUCCUUAACAUGGAGCCAUUCCCCUAAGCCUAGGUCAGGAUAGCCUAGGCUCUUUUUU
Molecule: non-coding RNA, 90 nt
Organism: Vibrio sp. JCM 19236
Lineage: Bacteria; Pseudomonadati; Pseudomonadota; Gammaproteobacteria; Vibrionales; Vibrionaceae
Source: Rfam